GACGAACGCUGGCGGCGUGCUUAAUACAUGCAAGUCAACUGAACUUAAGGUAGCAAUAUUUUAAGGGAGGUGGCGCACGGUGAGUAACACGUAGGUAAUCUGCCUUUAGGUCUGACACAACCUACCGAAAGGUAGGCUAAUAUCAGAUGAUGCAGCGGCUCGACAUCGAGACAGUUGUUAAACCUUCGGGGCCUAAAGAUGAGCCUGCGUCUGAUUAGGUAGUUGGCGGAGUAAUAGCCCACCAAGCCUGCGAUCAGUAGCUGGUCUGAGAGGAUGAUCAGCCACACUGGAACUGAGACACGGUCCAGACUCCUACGGGAGGCAGCAGUAAGGAAUAAUUGCUCAAUGGCCGAAAGGCUGAAG
This 363-nucleotide ribosomal RNA is filed under the name uncultured bacterium. RNAcentral's name for it is "bacterial SSU rRNA". It matches the Rfam family "Bacterial small subunit ribosomal RNA", at positions 28 to 388 of the family's 1533-position model. The record is from RNAcentral.